RNAcentral lists this ribosomal RNA (494 nucleotides) under Glyphiulus proximus. Its description in RNAcentral is "partial large subunit ribosomal RNA". It matches the Rfam family "Bacterial large subunit ribosomal RNA", at positions 1858 to 2621 of the family's 2925-position model. The record is from RNAcentral. Lineage: Eukaryota; Metazoa; Arthropoda; Diplopoda; Spirostreptida; Cambalopsidae.
CCUGCUCACUGAUAAUUAAAGAGCUGCAGUAUAUUAACUGUACAAAGGUAGCAUAAUCAUUAGUCUUUUAAUUGGGGACUGGUAUGAAAGGUUUUACGGAAAUUAGCUGUCUUUAGUAUAUUUAUAUAAAUUUAAUUUUUUUGUGAAAAAGCAAAAAUUGAGUAAAGGGACAAGAAGACCCUAUUAAACUUUAGUUUUAUUAAUUAUUUUAAAUAAUAAAUUUAUUUUAUUUAAUUAAACUUUAUUUGGGGCGAAUAAUAUGUAAACGAUAUUUUAUUAUUAAUAGUAUUUUUAAAAUUUAAUUUUGAUCCAGGUUGGUUGAUUUUAAGAAUAAGUUACUAUAGGGAUAACAGCGUUAUAUUUUUUAAGAGUUCAUAUUGACAAAAAUGUUUGCGACCUCGAUGUUGGAUCAGGGUGUCUUAAUGAUGAAGAAGUUAUUUAUAGAUGGUCUGUUCGACCAGUAAUAUCCUACGUGAUCUGAGUUCAAACCGGCG